ACGGGAACGGAGGUCUGCAGGAGGAUUGACACGACACGACAAUGAAACACGGAGGGAAAAACAGAGCAAGGUUGCAUCAAGCUUAUGAAGGCAGCUCCUUCAUUACCGGGAGGUAUGCUGACUGAUGAUUGCCGCCAGCUGUGGAGAAGUGAACCAACCUUUGAUACCAGCUACAACAAAUUCUUCGAGAGGAUCAUCCGCUAAAGAAUAAUUGUUAAUCAGGAGGUGCUGAGAAUGAACCAGCUACGACGAAUGUUUUUAAAUACGGUGCAAAAACAUGAAGAUUGUGAUGCUUCAAACUACAGGCAGGAUAAAUUAAAGAGAAGGCUGACUCUGGACUUUCCCCAACUGGUGUUUCAACCGCAACAUCUGCGAACUGUUUUUUGUUGAGACAUUGUCUGCAGAUAAGCUGAUAGACAGGCUACCUCAUCCAUCAGGUACAGACAAAACUGAGUCAACUGAAGUAAGCCAAGGUGAAAGUGACACUGAACACAUGGCAAGAACAACAGCUGGUCCGCAAACUACUGAGAACACGAGGACACUUUAGUGCAGCGCUGAUAUUGAACCAGCUACUAUGUGACUCUCCCGGUAUGAUGUGCCCCUGGCCACCCGUCUGAUGCAAAAUCUGUUGUGCCACUUGAACGGUACAAUGUUAUUGCUUGGAUUGUAGGUGCAACAGAGGAACCAACGUUAGCCUGUUUGUUGAUAUUCCAGAAGAUGUGAACCUAAAAGUGAUAUCUGUUUGUCAAGACAUUAUGUAUCUUGCAUCUAAAGGUCAUAGGCAGACACCCAAAUUAUUAUGUCUUGGUCUAAGUAUUCGGCAUUUAACAGGUUCCUCACAAGUUGUGGCACUGCUGAGUGGACUAGGACAUUGUGCUUCAUGAGACAUUCUCUCAUUUUGCCCCUUCACCCAAUGGCAAUGGAUGGCACAUUGCGGAUGGGGAGUGAAAAGCGACAUG
This is a long non-coding RNA of Nerophis lumbriciformis (worm pipefish), 959 nucleotides long. RefSeq lists it as uncharacterized. NCBI's taxonomy places the organism in Eukaryota, Metazoa, Chordata, Actinopteri, Syngnathiformes, Syngnathidae. The record is from RefSeq and is a predicted model, not a curated record.